GAUAAGACCAGUGGGUCGUUUCCCUUUGAGGAUGAUGACAUUGUGUGGUGCAGUCUUGGGCCACGCCAUGUUCUUCACAGGUACUGGGUAAGGCUGCUCUAGGCCAGGCUCAUGGGUGCUAAUGUGGAUCAUGGAUCCCCUUCUCGGGAGAGAGAGCAUCCAGACUUUUCGGGAGCAGAAUCUCUCAGGUUUGUUUCUCUCAGGCUCUCGUCACAGUGACGACAUCUUACCAACAACCUCGGAGAGAAGAGAACCAACCGAGGGACUCAGCAUUAAAUAUCAUGAUCCUGACCACUGGCUAUAGUAAUUUCCCAAACAGCAGCAUCUGUUACCAAGACAACCACAUCAUCACUGUGUGCUCUGGUAGCUGUCAUUACGCAUGAGGUUGGAUUCUCACAAUUCUCUGCACCAGGGCCUCCCAUAACCUUGCCAAGGACUUGGUCUGUGUAUCAGCUGCCCCGUGUCCUCUCAGCUGAGGAAACAGAGGCGUCUGGGAGGUAUGUCCUGCUUGGGGCAUGUGGUUGGUAAAAAGCAGAAUUGUGGCAAUGUGGGUUUCUCACUCCAGCCCCCUUUGCAAAAGCCUGGUUCAUCCAUUGGAAGGCUGUUUCUCUGGGGCUUCCCAUGGCUUCCUCUGCGCUGGAGCCAGCUCCCUCUCCUUCCCUCCCCCUUAUCUCUGGAACACAGGCUAAAUGCAAAGGAAAAGAGCCUCUGCCACAGCCAAGAUUCCUAUCUGACUUGGAACAUGGGCCACCGCUAGGCUUCCUCUUGAGUUCCUGGCCUGAAGAGGCCUUGCCUGCAGCUGCCAUGGCCCCACAGCGGAAGCCAGCACUGAGAAGAUAAGGGGAAGGCUGGGGGCCUGGGGCCACUUCCCUACCAGACGCUAGAGCACAUCUCCUGUGCUUUCUGACAGGCGGCCUGCAGAAAGGGCUUCCCGGCUGGAUGCAUUCCUAGGGACACCACAAACCAAGCAGGAUUUCUGCUGUUCUUGACUCACAGAAAAAUCCAUUCCCUCACAGUUGUGGAGGCGAGAAGUCUAGAAUAAAGAUAUGGACGGGGCAGUGAAACUCGGGAGAGACCCCUUCUGGCCCUCCGAGCUUCAGUUCCCACCAGUACCCUGCUGGCAGCCACACCGCCCAACCCUUUGAAUCCCUUCCCAACAUGGCUUCUCCUGUUCUCUUAUUCUGAGGACAUCAGUUAUUGAAUUUAGGGCCCUCCUAAUCCAACACGUCAUCCUUCCAGACAGGGUCACAUUCAUAAGCUGUGUGAGGACAUGAAUUUCAGGGUACAUUAUAACACAUCUAGAAAUGUCCUGCGACCAUCUCCCCUAAACACGUAACCUUAAAACAAGAAGCAUAUUGUACAUCUCAAAGGAUGGAGGUGAUGAGAAGAGGCCAUUGACCAUCUGUCCGGAAGGCUGGGGGACCUGAGCCUGGGUUCCCAUACCUCAUCCUGUCCUUCCUUUCCAUGCAAACCUCUCAUCCUUCCCUACACCAAGAGUCAAGACUCCUGAGACUCCUCUCCAUGCAUGCAGAAGACGACCACCAUCUUCCACAGCCACAGACAUCUCACUGCGGUUCGCCACGGAUAAUCUAAGCACUCAUUCAAAUGUCACACAGUACCCAAGCUGUCAAAGGCUACGGACUGGGGUGUGACCCAGGGUGGGAUGGGACACACCACACCUGGUGUGGUCGGUACCUAGAGAACAGCCGAUGAUACUUGCUGAGGUGUACCACCGACACAUUCCUGUGAUCCCCACAGCCCACUCUUCUAACCCCCAGGAAUCCCAUUAAGGAAGACUGGAUAGCAGCUGGGUCUUCCAGAGUCAUGUGACUCCCACAGAAGCCCAGGAAGUCUGCAGUGCAGAAGAGGGGAGAUGUCCCUAGUUGGGCCUCUAGAUUUUGACACAUGGGGCAAGGCCACUGGUCACUGGGAACAUGGAGGGUGAUGAGAGGAGUUGAUGCAGCCUGUGAGCAAUAUGGUAAAAAGCUCUUCUCAGCCACAGGCCAGUUUGCCAGCUGUCCCUACUCCUCAGAGCCCUGUCUCAGACAGGAAACAGCGUGGGGACAGAACACAGCCACCAGGCAGUGAGUCCCGCCCACAGAGAGGACAGCAGGUGACUGGAAAGAGCCCGCUGCCUUGCUUCGGGUUCGCAGAGUCAGAAGCAUGGAAGACCCUGCUUCUCUACUUCCUCUAGUUAGACAGCAGGCCCCUCUCUAACUCAUAUCCUCAGUCAGUGGCUUUGCUUGCUUAUUGAUUUCAACCCCCAUGGUUCCACAGGAACCUACCAUCCCUCAGCAAAAUGACCCAAAGAAUAAAGAAUUGUGAGCCAAGGCAAGCAGUACACUGUCCCCGUCACUCUCACCUCUGAAAAUAACCCUUUAUUUAGCUGGCACUCAAUUUAGGUUCUGACCAACGGACUAGAAUGACAGGAAAGCUCAGGCAAGCCCUGAAGCCUCCCACCCCACCCCAUGCCAUCCUGCUCCCACCUCCCACUGCCAGCAGAGCGGCCUGCCAACCUACUCCACCCACGAGGAGCAGAAGCCAACGGUAAGAGCCUGCUGUGAGGCACCCCGUGUGGAGCCUCAAGCCGCCAGAACCUCCUUGUGGAAUGAUUCCUCACAGCCUCUCAGGGUCCAGAAUAUGAAGUUAAGAAGCAUCUGCGUAUUAGAAGAAAGUUUCUUAAAUGGGCUGUGUUCCACAGCUGGGUACUAUUUGGUGGCAGGGGAGCUGGUUGUAAUUUUACUUCAGCAAUAAUACAACUAUGAAAAUUA
Molecule: long non-coding RNA, 2771 nt
Organism: Myodes glareolus (Bank vole)
Lineage: Eukaryota; Metazoa; Chordata; Mammalia; Rodentia; Cricetidae
Source: RefSeq, a predicted model, not a curated record